RNAcentral lists this ribosomal RNA (600 nucleotides) under uncultured marine bacterium. RNAcentral's name for it is "bacterial SSU rRNA". It matches the Rfam family "Bacterial small subunit ribosomal RNA", at positions 8 to 605 of the family's 1533-position model. The record is from RNAcentral.
AGAGUAUGAUCCUGGCUCAGAACGAACGCUGGCGGCGCGCUUAACACAUGCAAGUCGCACGAGAGGCUCUUCGGAGUAGUAAAGUGGCGCACGGGUGAGUAAUACAUGGGUAAUCUGCCUUUGAGAGGGGAAUAACCAGCCGAAAGGCUAGCUAAUACCCCAUACGCUUCCGGUCCUUCGGGUAAGGAAGGAAAGCUGCAUCGUGGAUGUGGCGCUCAAAGAUGGGCUCAUGGCCUAUCAGCUUGUUGGUUAGGGUAACGGCCUACCAAGGCAACGACGGGUAGCUGGUCUGAGAGGACGAUCAGCCACACUGGCACUGAGAUACGGGCCAGACUCCUACGGGAGGCAGCAGUGAGGAAUAUUGCGCAAUGGGCGAAAGCCUGACGCAGCGACGCCGCGUGGGGGAAGAAGGUCCUCGGAUUGUAAACCCCUUUUAGGAGGAAAGAUGGGGUGGGUAACCACCUUGACGGUACCUCCAGAAAAAGCCACGGCUAACUUCGUGCCAGCAGCCGCGGUAAUACGAAGGUGGCGAGCGUUGUUCGGAUUUACUGGGCGUAAAGAGCACGUAGGCGGUUUAGUAAGCCCCUUGUGAAAGCUCCG